Molecule: ribosomal RNA, 519 nt
Filed under: Pseudoeurycea unguidentis
Lineage: Eukaryota; Metazoa; Chordata; Amphibia; Caudata; Plethodontidae
Description: partial large subunit ribosomal RNA
Rfam family: Bacterial large subunit ribosomal RNA
Source: RNAcentral
CGCCUUUUGAAUUAUAAACAUAAAAGGUCCUGCCUGCCCAGUGACACUUGUUUCAACGGCCGCGGUAUCAUGACCGUGCAAAGGUAGCGUAAUCACUUGUCUUUUAAAUAAAGACCAGUAUGAAUGGCAAGACGAAAGCCUAACUGUCUCCUUAAGCUAAUCAAUGAAAUUGAUCUUCCCGUGCAGAAGCGGGAAUAAUAAUAUAAGACGAGAAGACCCUGUGGAGCUUCAAAAUUAAGCUAACAGACCACAAUGCCUUAGCAUACAGUUUUAGGUUGGGGCGACCGUGAGGUAAAACAUAACCCUCAAGACAAAAACCUAAGAAGGACACUUCAAAUAAAUAAUAAUAUAAUAAUUGACCCAAUAAUUGAUCAACGAACCAAGUUACCCCAGGGAUAACAGCGCAAUCUACUCAAAGAGCCCUUAUCGACGAGCAGGUUUACGACCUCGAUGUUGGAUCAGGACCCCCAAAUAAUGUAACAGUUAUUAAAGGUUCGUUUGUUCAACGAUUAAAGUCCU